CUUUCUUCGCAACUGCUUCUAAAAGUUAUUUCUACAAAACUGAAGAGCGUCAAGCCGGGUGCGGCUACACGCGAGUGUGGACGAACCGCCGCUGGAGUACGGAACACGCGGAGCGCACUUUUUGCGGGGACGGGUCUGUGCAGAAACGACCGUGACGUAUCGGCCAUUCCCGAGCGCUGCUGUCCUCGUUCCCGGCCGAGUAGCUCUCUUUUGAGCCUGUUUUCAGAUCGACGGAUCUGACGCAACAGAUCAUAAGCAAAUCUUAAGAUGCAUUGUACGUGUCAUAUUUAAAUAUUCUUAUUUCUAUAAUAUGAUAUUAAUAAUUUCCAGUUUUGAAAUAUGUAAAAUCAUGCUUUAUAAAAAUAUUAAGCUACAAAGCAAUUAAGAAACAAAAAAGUCUACAAUUUUUAAUUAUGAAAAUAUGAAUAUUUAAUGAUUAAAAUAUUUUGUUCUCAAUAUUUUCAUUUAAGAAAAUAUUGAUUAUAAUUUUUUAUAUUAAAAUAACAACUAUUUUGUAAAAUAAUGAACAAAAGAAAAAGAAAAUGAUUACUACAUAUUAUUUAUUUUCCAAAUAUUUUAUUGUAAAACAAAUGUAAAAAGUUUACAUAUUGUAAUAAAUGUUACGAACGUUUAAUAACACAAAUAUUAAUUAUAACAGAACUUUUUAUAAAUUAAACGUAACUGUUUUCCUUGUCCACUAUAUUUGAAUUACUAUAGCGUCGAAGUUUCGAAAUCUGUUAAAAAAUAAAUUAUGAUUAAAUUAUUAUUUUUAAAUAAUUUAUUAUUAAAAUAUAAUUUUAUAUGUACCAAAUUUAUCGGUUUUACUUUCUGAACAAUUUUAUUAUUAUCUCUUAAUGGACUUCGUUGUAUAUUAUUUCCGUUAUUUUUAAAAGAAAUUGGUGAAUUUUUUUGCGAAUUUGAUUGUUUAUAUAUUGAACGUUUUGGAGAUUCAUAUAAACGUUCAUAUUGAUUAAUUUCAAACGAAGAAUUUAAACUUUUGUUUAUAGGUGGAGUCUGUAUUUUUGGAAUAUUAGAUUCUGUUGUUCGGCGUUUAGGUGUUGUUUUCUUUGGAGAUGGUAAUUUAGUAUUUCUAGAAGAUAAAUUAUAAUUAUAAUAAAUUUUCCUUAUUAUAUAUUGUUAUUAUAUUGUUAUAAUAUUUUUAGAUAUUAUAAAGUUAAAUUUACCUUUGUAAAUUAUUACUCAUUCCAUUGCAAUUAUUAAUAUUUAUGCGUGUAGUUACAGGUGAAAUAUCACAGGAAAAAUUACGUUUUUUAGGACUAUUAAUUAUUUGUGAUUGUGCUUUUUGUAUUUUAGAAUUUUGAGCAUCUGGAGUUGACGAAGCAACUGGUUUCGCAGAUCGUGAUUUUUUUGCUAAAAGUUCAUUGUUUGUGGAAUUAGGAGUACUACUAAUUAUUUUAUGAGACUGAGGUGGUGUUGUAGUUCCAAUAGAUGAAGUUAAUUUUUUAUUAAUAGUUUCUGUAAAAAAAAUACAUUAAAAAGAAAAUAUAAAUUUUA
Long non-coding RNA from Apis cerana (Asiatic honeybee), 1515 nucleotides. RefSeq lists it as uncharacterized. The record is from RefSeq and is a predicted model, not a curated record. Lineage: Eukaryota; Metazoa; Arthropoda; Insecta; Hymenoptera; Apidae.